RNAcentral lists this ribosomal RNA (396 nucleotides) under uncultured bacterium. RNAcentral's name for it is "bacterial SSU rRNA". It matches the Rfam family "Bacterial small subunit ribosomal RNA", at positions 505 to 898 of the family's 1533-position model. The record is from RNAcentral.
GUGCCAGCAGCCGCGGUAAUACGUAGGGUCCGAGCGUUAUCCGGAAUCAUUGGGCGUAAAGCGCAUGUAGGCGGCCACGUAAGUCGGAUGUGAAAUCCCAGGGCUCAACCCUGGAACUGCAUCCGAUACUGCAUGGCUUGAGGAAGGUAGAGGAGAGUGGAAUUCCCGGUGUAGCGGUGGAAUGCGCAGAUAUCGGGAGGAACACCAGCGGCGAAGGCGGCUCUCUGGGCCUCUCCUGACGCUGAGAUGCGAAAGCGUGGGUAGCGAACAGGAUUAGAUACCCUGGUAGUCCACGCCGUAAACGAUGGGUGCUAGGUGUGGGGAUCAGUUCACGAUCUCCGUGUCGAAGCUAACGCGUUAAGCACCCCGCCUGGGGACUACGGCCGCAAGGCUAAA